This 207-nucleotide ribosomal RNA is filed under the name uncultured bacterium. RNAcentral's name for it is "partial 16S ribosomal RNA". It matches the Rfam family "Bacterial small subunit ribosomal RNA", at positions 568 to 774 of the family's 1533-position model. The record is from RNAcentral.
CACGUAGGCGGCUCGUUAAGUCGGAUGUGAAAGCCCUGGGCUCAACCCAGGAAGUGCAUACGAUACUGGCGAGCUUGAAUAUGGAAGAGGGUCGCGGAAUUCCCGGUGUAGAGGUGAAAUUCGUAGAUAUCGGGAGGAACACCAGUGGCGAAGGCGGCGACCUGGGCCAAUAUUGACGCUGAGGUGCGAAAGCGUGGGGAGCAAACA